Molecule: long non-coding RNA, 318 nt
Organism: Plutella xylostella (diamondback moth)
Lineage: Eukaryota; Metazoa; Arthropoda; Insecta; Lepidoptera; Plutellidae
Source: RefSeq, a predicted model, not a curated record
ACACAUAAUGUUAAUUUCAUUACGUGAUGAAGGCUGCGUUGACCAAAAUAAAAGGGUCAAUUUAAGCAGCAGAGUAACCGGAAUAAAAAACAGCAACACCAGAUGUUAUGAUGAUAAGUUUGGUGAUGAUCUACUGCGUGCAGCUUGCAGCUAGGCAGUCUGGAACCGUGUCACAACCAAGGAACACCGAGUCCUUGCUGUACGUGAAUACCUACGAAGUCACGUAGGGGUGGCCUCAGCGUGUUCCAUAUGAAGCUGGCUGUGAAUCGGAACGAGUGGCGAAACAAAGCGGUUUUGUGCUUCGGAGUGACCAUAAGA